Molecule: ribosomal RNA, 392 nt
Filed under: Aplanochytrium sp.
Lineage: Eukaryota; Bigyra; Thraustochytrida; Thraustochytriidae
Description: partial small subunit ribosomal RNA
Rfam family: Eukaryotic small subunit ribosomal RNA
Source: RNAcentral
AUUCCAGCUCCAAUAGCGUAUAUUAAAGUUGUUGCAGUUAAAAAGCUCGUAGUUGGAUUUCUGGUAGGAGCGACCGUGCCGAACUUGAUUGUUCGUGUAUUGUGUUGUCUUCAGCCAUCCUCGUGGAGAACUUUUCUAACAUUAACUUGUUGGGAUUGGGACCCGCGUCGUUUACUGUGAAAAAAUUAGAGUGUUUAAAGCAGGCAUUAGCUUGAAUACAUUAGCAUGGAAUAAUAAGAUAGGACUUUGGUACUAUUUUGUUGGUUUGCAUACCAAAUUAAUGAUCAACAGGAACAGUUUGAGGAUAUUCGUGUGAACAUGUCAGAGGUGAAAUUCUUGGAUUUUGAUCAGACGAACUACUGCGAAAGCAUUUAUCAAGGAUGUUUUCAUCG